CACGUAGUUAGCCGUGACUUUCUGGUUGAUUACCGUCAAAUAAAGGCCAGUUACUACCUCUAUCCUUCUUCACCAACAACAGAGCUUUACGAUCCGAAAACCUUCUUCACUCACGCGGCGUUGCUCCAUCAGACUUGCGUCCAUUGUGGAAGAUUCCCUACUGCUGCCUCCCGUAGGAGUUUGGGCCGUGUCUCAGUCCCAAUGUGGCCGAUCAGUCUCUCAACUCGGCUAUGCAUCAUCGCCUUGGUAAGCCUUUACCUUACCAACUAGCUAAUGCACCGCGGGGCCAUCCCAUAGCGACAGCUUACGCCGCCUUUUAAAAGCUGAUCAUGCGAUCUGCUUUCUUAUCCGGUAUUAGCACCUGUUUCCAAGUGGUAUCCCAGACUAUGGGGCAGGUUCCCCACGUGUUACUCACCCAUCCGCCGCUCGCUUUCCUAACGUCAUUACCGAAGUAAAUCUGUUAGUUCCGCUCGCUCGACUUGCAUGUAUUAGGCACGCCGCC
This 502-nucleotide ribosomal RNA is filed under the name uncultured Lactobacillus sp. RNAcentral describes it as "partial 16S ribosomal RNA". Lineage: Bacteria; Bacillati; Bacillota; Bacilli; Lactobacillales; Lactobacillaceae. The record is from RNAcentral.